Molecule: ribosomal RNA, 358 nt
Filed under: uncultured soil bacterium
Lineage: Bacteria
Description: bacterial SSU rRNA
Rfam family: Bacterial small subunit ribosomal RNA
Source: RNAcentral
GGAACGAACGCUGGCGGCAUGCCUAAUACAUGCAAGUCGAACGAACUCUUCGGAGUUAGUGGCGCACGGGUGCGUAACGCGUGGGAAUCUGCCCCUUGGUUCGGAAUAACAGUUGGAAACGACUGCUAAUACCGGAUGAUGACGAAAGUCCAAAGAUUUAUCGCCAAGGGAUGAGCCCGCGUAGGAUUAGCUAGUUGGUGAGGUAAAGGCUCACCAAGGCAACGAUCCUUAGCUGGUCUGAGAGGAUGAUCAGCCACACUGGGACUGAGACACGGCCCAGACUCCUACGGGAGGCAGCAGUAGGGAAUAUUGGACAAGUGGGCGAAAGCUGAUCCAGCAAUGCCGCGUGAGUGAAGUG